This 222-nucleotide long non-coding RNA is filed under the name Setaria viridis. RNAcentral's name for it is "long non-coding RNA (SVIR_LNC008374)". The record is from RNAcentral. Lineage: Eukaryota; Viridiplantae; Streptophyta; Magnoliopsida; Poales; Poaceae.
AACUCUUGUCAGAAACUCCAUUUUUUGCCUUUCGUUGCAACAUGUCUAGUGUGGUACCUAACUUUUUGUGCCCCUAUUUGCAAUCUGGGUAUAAUAAUUUUUUAUGAUCAUCUAACAUACGCUCAAACUUCUUUGACUCCUUCACAUUCUCACGAUCUUCCUUUGCAUCUCGCAACACCUGACCUAGAUCAUCGGUAGGACCUUCUUCUGCAACCAUCUCUU